This 274-nucleotide ribosomal RNA is filed under the name uncultured bacterium. RNAcentral describes it as "partial 16S ribosomal RNA". It matches the Rfam family "Bacterial small subunit ribosomal RNA", at positions 523 to 796 of the family's 1533-position model. The record is from RNAcentral.
AUACGGAGGGUGCAAGCAUUGAUCGGAAUUACUGGGCGUAAAGGGCGCGUAGGCGGCUUGAUAAGUCAGAUGUGAAAUUCCACGGCUCAACCGUGGAGCUGCAUUUGAAACUGUCUCGCUGGAGCAUAGUUAGGGAAAACGGAAUUCCACAUGUAGCGGUGAAAUGCGUAGAUAUGUGGAGGAACACCGGUGGUGAAGACGGUUUUCUGGGCUAUAGCUGACGCUGAGGCGCGAAAGCUAGGGGAGCGAACGGGAUUAGAUACCCCAGUAGUCC